This 304-nucleotide ribosomal RNA is filed under the name uncultured Polynucleobacter sp. Its description in RNAcentral is "bacterial SSU rRNA". It matches the Rfam family "Bacterial small subunit ribosomal RNA", at positions 1 to 307 of the family's 1533-position model. The record is from RNAcentral. Lineage: Bacteria; Pseudomonadati; Pseudomonadota; Betaproteobacteria; Burkholderiales; Burkholderiaceae.
GUCAGAGUUUGAUCCUGGCUCAGAUUGAACGCUGGCGGCAUGCCUUACACAUGCAAGUCGAACGGCAGCACGGGUGCUUAGCACUGUGGCGAGUGGGCGGAACGGGUGAAGUAAUACAUCGGAACGUACCUUAUCGUGGGGGAUAACGCAGCGAAAGUUGCGCUAAUACCGCAUACGCCCUGAGGGGGAAAGCGGGGGACCGUAAGGCCUCGCGCGAUUAGAGCGGCCGAUGUCUGAUUAGCUUGUUGGUGAGGUAAAAGCUCACCAAGGCGAUGAUCAGUAGCUGGUCUGAGAGGACGAUCAG